CGCGAUUUUUCCGGUUAGCAAUAACUGGAAAAAUUGAGUGGCGAAUGGGUGCGUAACACGUGGGAAUUUAUCCGGAAGUGGGGUAUAGCUUGCCGAAAGGCAAAUUAAUACCGCAUAUGCCCGUAAGGGCAAAGUGGGGGACCGCAAGGCCUCACGCUAUCGGAGGAGCCCGCGCCCUAUCAGCUAGUUGGUGAGGUAAUGGCUCACCAAGGCUUAGACGGGUAGCUGGUCUGAGAGGACGACCAGCCACACUGGAACUGAGACACGGUCCAGACACCUACGGGUGGCAGCAGUCGAGGAUUUUUCUCAAUGGGGGCAACCCUGAAGGAGCGACGCCGCGUGGAGGAUGAAGGGCUUCGGCUCGUAAACUCCUGUCACCGACGAACAAGGCAUCCGGAUUAAUAAAUCGGAUGCUUGAUGGUAGUCGGAGAGGAAGGGGCGGCUAACUCUGUGC
This 454-nucleotide ribosomal RNA is filed under the name uncultured Verrucomicrobiota bacterium. RNAcentral's name for it is "bacterial SSU rRNA". It matches the Rfam family "Bacterial small subunit ribosomal RNA", at positions 65 to 508 of the family's 1533-position model. Lineage: Bacteria; Pseudomonadati; Verrucomicrobiota. The record is from RNAcentral.